GAUGAACGCUAGCGGCAGGCUUAACACAUGCAAGUCGAGGGGUAACAGGGGAAAGCUUGCUUUUUUGCUGACGACCGGCGCACGGGUGAGUAACGCGUAUAGAACCUACCUUUUACAGGGGAAUAGCCCAGAGAAAUUUGGAUUAAUACCCUAUAGUAUUAUUGAGUGGCAUCAUUUAAUAAUUAAACAUUUAUGGGUAAAAGAUGGCUAUGCGUUCUAUUAGCUAGAUGGUAAGGUAACGGCUUACCAUGGCAACGAUAGAUAGGGGUCCUGAGAGGGAGAUCCCCCACACUGGUACUGAGACACGGACCAGACUCCUACGGGAGGCAGCAGUGAGGAAUAUUGGACAAUGGAGGCAACUCUGAUCCAGCCAUGCCGCGUGCAGGAAGACGGCCCUAUGGGUUGUAAACUGCUUUUAUACGGGAAGAAACCCAACUACGUGUAGUUGGCUGACGGUACCGUAAGAAUAAGCACCGGCUAACUCCGUGCCAGCAGCCGCGGUAAUACGGAGGGUGCAAGCGUUAUCCGGAAUCAUUGGGUUUAAAGGGUCCGUAGGCGGGCUAAUAAGUCAGGGGUGAAAUCCAACAGCUUAACUGUUGAACUGCCUUUGAUACUGUUAGUCUUGAAUUAUAUGGAAGUAGAUAGAAUGUGUAGUGUAGCGGUGAAAUGCUUAGAGAUUACACAGAAUACCGAUUGCGA
This 699-nucleotide ribosomal RNA is filed under the name Lutibacter sp. RNAcentral describes it as "bacterial SSU rRNA". It matches the Rfam family "Bacterial small subunit ribosomal RNA", at positions 28 to 718 of the family's 1533-position model. The record is from RNAcentral. Lineage: Bacteria; Pseudomonadati; Bacteroidota; Flavobacteriia; Flavobacteriales; Flavobacteriaceae.